This is a long non-coding RNA of Symphalangus syndactylus (siamang), 2456 nucleotides long. RefSeq lists it as uncharacterized. Lineage: Eukaryota; Metazoa; Chordata; Mammalia; Primates; Hylobatidae. The record is from RefSeq and is a predicted model, not a curated record.
CAAGCUGCUGGCGGUAGUGCACAGAAUGGCAAAGGCCCUCUGCGAUCCUCUCGUGGCAGUGUCUCCCCAGCUUGCCCGUCGGCCCUCCGUCGUGCUGCAGCAGUGGCUUUAGCCAGUUGGGAAACCCAGAGAUCCAAAUUAACUGCUCAGUGUGCAACCAGAGUCUUGUGAAACCUACAGUAAGCUGAAUUCAGAAAAUGUGCGAUGACAAGGCCACAGAGACAGAGCGAAGGGAACAGACUCCUUGGGGACACGGAUAUGCUCCACAGGUGCCAUUUGCUUCCACUGGGAAUUAUGUUAAUCCUGUGCGGGUAUUUACUGUGGCUUCUCUCCUCAAAUGCACUUCCCUCCAACUGAUCAAAAAGUCCCCACUUUCUGGAGGGUUGGGAAUGUGUUUUAUUGUUCUCAAUAAUAUCCAGUUUUGGCUGUGAGGGCGAUCUGGCUGCGACAUCUGUCACCCCAUUGAUUGCCAGGGUUGAUUCAGCUGCUCUGGCUGGCUAGGCAGGUGUCUCCUUCCUGCCUUGCUGCUCCAUGUGCACCCUCCCGAAGCCUCAUGCUCAGUGGAUGAGGAGGACCAUCUCCGAUAGAGGACGACUGGUCUUCGGUCAAGGGUAUAGAGCUGCGCUCCCCUGCUAGAACCUCCAAACAAGCUCUCGAUAAUUCCAGUCUUAAAAAAAGGAUCUGUUACAUGUGCUUCAGAACAAGUGGAUAAGUACAAUUGAAGAUUCCAUGUAUAAUUUCAAUCAUCUUUUAGUUAAAAAAAAUUUAACCCAAAGCAUUUCCAUAAGAGCUACUCCAACCUGGAGAUCACCAAGUAAAACGGAGGAGAAGGCCAAAAGUUUGAGAAAAUGGAUUUCAGUUUGAGCUGAAAUACUAAUAGAGUCCUACCUAAAGUUGACUUUAUCCCCAAGUGAAAUGAAGAGAAAUCAAGAGGGUAACAUAUGAGAUCAGUCAACCGUGGGCGUGACAGGGAGUCAGUGAAUAAGCAGUUUUAGAGAAUCAACAGCCUGCAAUUCCAUCAAGGUAGUUGAGAGACAGACCCAGGCAACAUCCUAGCAAAGCGAUAGCCUCCGUCACUUGCAGUGGUUAAAAGAUGCAAAGACAAGACACCAUCAAGCCCAAAUCUUAUUGGUUACAAAAAUGGCUGAAGCUAAUAAUGCUGACAAUACAUUAUAUCAACCAAGAUGAAGUCUAACUAGUUUUACUUUAUUUAGAUGAUGUAUCUGGAUUUUUCCUCUUCAAUUUUCUUAGAUCUUUGAAGGAAUUGCUCUGUGUCCAUUCCAAGUAUUUCUGGUGACUUAUCAAGUUUCCUGGAUGCAGGAAUGUGUUCAUUCCCCCAUGCCCCAGCAACAGUGAUCAGAAUGAAAAGGGUGAACGCAAGAUCUAAUAGGCCAAAUCCAUUUAUAUAUGGAUGGUGGGAUGAAAACAGUUCUUUUGUUGUUUGUUUUUUCUAUUGAGAUUUUUGUAAUGGAAGGAUAGGCAUCUGAGGCUGUGGUGGGAAGAGCUUUCUGUAGCAUGAAAGGAAGAAAAGAGAAGCAAAGAGGAGAGGCAGACAAAGAGAGAUUCAACAGCAGUGGUUUCCAACCUUGGCUAAACGUUGGAAUCAACUGGGGAGCUUGAAAAAAUACUGGUGCCUGGAUUCCAGCCCCAGAAAUUUUCAUUUGGUUGGUUUUCGGUGCUGCCUAGGCCUUGGGACUUUUAAAAGCUGUCUUGGUGAUUCUUACAAGCAGCUGAGGAUAGAAACCACUUGUCUUGAGGCACCAGAUCACCUUUGAGCCCGGGGCAUAAAUCCAGCUGUUCUUCCUUGUUCUGUAACCCAUCUUGGUAUCCUCAGUUGUCAAUAACUUCUCUCUCUCUCUCUUUUUUUUUUUUUUUGCUUAAUUUAGUUUGAGUUGAAUUUCUGUUAUUUGCGGCCAAAAGAAGUCUAACUAAGAAACUAAAAAUACUCUGUAAUCAUAGCUAACAUUGAUUCAGCCUCAGUGAUGUGCAAGACACUGUUUGAAGUGCUUACUUGCAUUAACUUGUUUAAUUUAAUCCUUACAGCAUCCCCAUAAUUUGAAAGCCAUUAUUGUCCCUAUUUUACAGGUGAGGAAAUGAGACAUCAAAAGAUUAACUGACUUGCUAAAAUUUACACUGCCUACGGAAGCUGACCUGGAAUGUGAACCAGAAAUUGUCCUUAACCAAAUCACCUCACUGUCUCUCAAGAACUUUUCCAGGAGUUGUUCACUGUUUUGGAAAAUCACAUUAGCAAUGUCAACAUUACUCAUGGAAUUUGAGCCUCCAGUAUAAUACACCCGACGGGCCUGCCCCAGUGGCUGCCACAUUCUCUGUGAUUCUAGGGUCUCACUCUGUCACCCAGGCUGGAGUACAGUGGUGCAAUCAUAGCUUACUGCAGCCUUGACCUCCUAGACUCAAGCAAUUCUCCUGCCUCAGCUCCUGAGUAGCUGGAACUACAG